This 466-nucleotide ribosomal RNA is filed under the name uncultured bacterium. RNAcentral's name for it is "partial 16S ribosomal RNA". It matches the Rfam family "Bacterial small subunit ribosomal RNA", at positions 28 to 507 of the family's 1533-position model. The record is from RNAcentral.
GAUGAACGCUGGCGGCGUGCUUAACACAUGCAAGUCGAACGGAAAGGCCCAAGCUUGCUUGGGUACUCGAGUGGCGAACGGGUGAGUAACACGUGGGUGAUCUGCCCUGCACUUCGGGAUAAGCCUGGGAAACUGGGUCUAAUACCGGAUAGGACCACAUUUUGGAUGGUGUGUUGGAAAGUUUUUCGGUGUGGGAUGAGCUCGCGGCCUAUCAGCUUGUUGGUGGGGUAAUGGCCUACCAAGGCGUCGACGGGUAGCCGGCCUGAGAGGGUGUACGGCCACAUUGGGACUGAGAUACGGCCCAGACUCCUACGGGAGGCAGCAGUGGGGAAUAUUGCACAAUGGGCGCGAGCCUGAUGCAGCGACGCCGCGUGGGGGAUGACGGCCUUCGGGUUGUAAACUCCUUUCGCUAGGGACGAAGCGUUAUGUGACGGUACCUGGAGAAGAAGCACCGGCUAACUACGUG